AUGUUUUGCAUGGCAAAUUGCAAUGAGAAUUCUUAUAUUGCCAACUAUAGAAAGAUGGGGAAACCAAUAGAAUAUAAAAGGAAUACUGAUGAAAGGGUAAAGAUUUCUUCUUUCCCUCCUAUUGUCUCUCAUGAUGAAAUAGGUGACGCGGAGGAGCUCUCUAUUCAACCUGUCUCAUCAAUAAGAAGCUCGAAGAAAUUAAUUAAACCCACACCUGAUGUGGUGAAGAAGAAAAGAAGAAAGAAAAGAGGUAAAAAGGUAUCCCUCCCAAAUAAUGUUGCUCCUAUUAUUUUUGUGCCUCAUGAAAAUGAAUCAAAAAUAAUUGUAGAAGACGAUGCACUUGAUGAUGAUAUUGCUUCUUUGUCUUAUGGCACAAUGUCCGAGAGCAUUGUUGAUGAUGAUUUUGUUAUGCCUAUUGCUUAUUGUGAUGAUUAUGAUUGA
This 441-nucleotide ribosomal RNA is filed under the name Triticum aestivum (bread wheat). Its description in RNAcentral is "partial small subunit ribosomal RNA". The record is from RNAcentral. Lineage: Eukaryota; Viridiplantae; Streptophyta; Magnoliopsida; Poales; Poaceae.